UACAGAGGGUGCGAGCGUUGUUCGGAAUUACUGGGCGUAAAGCGCGCGCAGGCGGCCUUUUAAGUCUCGUGGUGAAAUGCCGGGGCUCAACCCCGUGCCCGCCGGAGAUACUGGGAGGCUGGAGACGAGUAGAGGCAAGCGGAAUUCCGGGUGUAGCGGUGGAAUGCGUAGAGAUCCGGAGGAACACCAGUGGCGAAGGCGACACGCUGGGCCGUACCUGACGCUAAGACGCGACAGCAUGGGGAGCGAACGGG
This 254-nucleotide ribosomal RNA is filed under the name uncultured bacterium. RNAcentral describes it as "partial 16S ribosomal RNA". It matches the Rfam family "Bacterial small subunit ribosomal RNA", at positions 524 to 776 of the family's 1533-position model. The record is from RNAcentral.